This 1043-nucleotide long non-coding RNA is filed under the name Equus caballus (horse). RNAcentral describes it as "lncRNA (ENSECAG00000047113.1)". Lineage: Eukaryota; Metazoa; Chordata; Mammalia; Perissodactyla; Equidae. The record is from RNAcentral.
CCAUUUGGAAAGGCCUCCUGGAAAAGGCGGUGGAAAGGAGAGGAAACACCGGUUUUGGAGCUCUGUUCCCAUUCCUGUGGUUUAUGCUGGCCUGGGCCCUUAGAUUUAAUUCUCUUAGAACUUUUUAUGAGUUAGUAAAUAUGGGUUUUAUCACCCAUUCUGGGGUGGUUUCACAGGGGAGAAAGGGUGGGUCUAUACGACCUUGGCUACCCCUAGACUCUAGUUAGUCUGAGACUCUUCCAGGGUAACUUGUAGGUUGAAGUCAGUUUUUAAUACCCUCCUUCAAAGACAAAGCCAGAACCCUAGGAAGUUUCAACUCUAUUACAAUGUACUUGACUUGAAACUGUCACUAAACGCUGAUAGUCAUAAAAUGCAGAGCAAGCCAGUGAGCGAGCAAGCAUGCAGGAGUGAGCAAGCCACAUCUGUUGAACGGUGAACCCCAAGAGUUCACUUACCCCAAUUCCCUCCACAAAAGAUUUCUAUUGCACGAAAGUGUCCGGGAGUUGGGUUGUCACCAGCUGGGCAGUAUCAUUCCCCUGGGAUGGGAGAACUCAGCGUGGAUCCAUAUUGAGCUUCUCAAAUGAUCUAGUGUGGAUGCAAAUUCAGUUGCUUCCUGGAUGACAGAAAUCCACACUGGCAUCUCCCAGCAGGGGCCUGAACCACUGCCCACAUCCUCCCUGACUCCUCCGCUGAUGGCCCCUCUGCCUCUGGCAGCACCACCUCAGCCUCCAUCUGCUUUCCUCUCGGCCCUGCUCCCAGAAGAAAGCAGUCAGGCUAAAGGGCUACAAGAUAUUUGCUGUCAGGCUGUUGCCUGAGGCUCUGACACCUUGGAGGGAACUUCCAAUGCUGCAUGGGGUCUUCUUAACCCAGAGCAGAGGUGAACUUAUCUGAAAUUGGGAAGAGAUGCCAUAGGCUCCCUCUUGCCUUCCAGACCUGGGAGGCAGGCUGCCUUCCCAGAUUCCACCGCCUUUGCCCUCCUCCAGCCCUGCUGCGUCUCUCUCUUCCUUCCAGCCCCGGGGCCUGGCUCCUCGGGUGCCCAGGAG